UCAGGUAUUCUCUUAACAUUCCUACAGCAAGUCAUUAGCAGAGUGUUAAAGUCUUUAAACUAAUAUUUUGGCUCCUAAACAUAUCUGUCUUGUUGUGUUUAUCAGACUGGCUACAGAUGAGAGUCUGUUCGACACAGCACCACCUGCUGAGCAACACCAUGAUCGAAGCAGAUACUGUGCCUACAGAAACCUGGACAUCUUCUCACCCUGUCUCUCUGAUGAUCACUUCGACUUCACCUCACUCUUCCCCUUCAGAGACGCCACAGACGAGUAUGCCCAGGGGUCAAUGUUCACUCAGCUAGGAUCCGAAUGAACUUCUUAUACUGGUGAAGUUCGUGUUAAAAUUCCUGUAGUGGACACUUUUAGCAGUUUUCUGUGAAAAAUGUUUGGUGUGUAGAAGUAGAGACAGGUAGGAAGUGAAGACAAAGUGUGCACUCCAUUCAUUCUGUCCAGUGUCUCAUCAAUGUGGACAUGAAGCGUUUUCCGUACUUCUUUUCAUAAGCUCACCUCUCCUCUGCUGAUGCCACAUUCCCGGGUGCUUCCGGGCUGACUCCUGGUGGUCUAAUGUCAGUCACUCGCUGCUACUGAACUCCACCAUGGGCUCGGCGUGUAGGGAACUUGUGGGCCAAAGGAUGGAGGAUGCAGUGGAUCUGUGUAUCCUGGAUCUGUAGAAUAAUGAUGUCCUGGAGUGUGGCACAGGGAGCGUCUGUCCUUUCUAGGAAAACAAAUGUGAGAGGAGGUGGCUGGAAGGCUGUGCGACUUCAGCGGGUAUGUCUAAGGACGGGGUUGGAGGUGGAGAUGGUGCUGCGAUAUCCUGAUCUGUGUAACGGGAAAGGGUGCUGUGUGAGUGGGGGUGUCAGUGUGAUUCAGGACACAGCCAUUACGACUGCAGCCUUGCCAUCGCCCAAGCCCGGAGCCUGGAGUAGUUUUAAUUAAAGCGGGACAGGACGACUUCUCACAGCUGGCACUCGAGACGGCAGGAGCGAUCAAAUGCUGCCAGAGGAUCAGAUGUUCUCCCUGUUCUCCUCAUCAGCACCUCUUCCUCUUUUCAGCUCCAAACACGCCUCUUAAUUACAGUCCUCUUCUCAUGCUGAUGUCUCACAUCCAUAAACCGGCUCCGAUCAGCGCUUGGCUCCAUCACCGGGGAUGCGGCAGAUGGUACAGGAUUUUAGGGUGUCUUCUUUUCGAUGAUUGCUAAUGUGAAUGUUUUUGAGCUGAAAUAAAACGCUGCUCGGCGUUAAUGUGUGACGUUCACACUAACCAGAACAGAACAUUAAAAGUACUGUUACAAUUUAAA
This is a long non-coding RNA of Silurus meridionalis, 1297 nucleotides long. RefSeq lists it as uncharacterized. The record is from RefSeq and is a predicted model, not a curated record. NCBI's taxonomy places the organism in Eukaryota, Metazoa, Chordata, Actinopteri, Siluriformes, Siluridae. The transcript is spliced from 4 exons.